AGUGAAUAGAUACCCAGGUAGUCCACGCAGUAAACGAUGAAUACUAACUGUUUGCGAUAUACAGUAAAGCGGUACAGCGAAAGCGUUAAGUAUUCCACCUGGGGAGUACGUUCGCAAGAAUGAAACUCAAAGGAAUUGACGGGGGCCCGCACAAGCGGAGGAACAUGUGGUUUAAAUUCGAUGAUACGCGAGUAACCGUUACCGGGCUUAGAAAUGCAUCUGACGUUAUUAGGAAACAGAUAUUCUAGCAAUAGCAGAUGUGUAGGUGCUGCAUGGUUGUCGUCAGCUCGUGCCGUGAGGUGUCGGCUUAAGUGCCAUAACGAGCGCAACCCUUAUCAUUAGUUGCCAGCGGGUCAAGCCGGGAACUCUAAUGAGACUGCCACCGUAAGGUGUGAGGAAGGUGGGGAUGACGUCAAAUCAGCACGGCCCUUACGUCCGGGGUCGACACA
RNAcentral lists this ribosomal RNA (449 nucleotides) under uncultured bacterium. RNAcentral describes it as "bacterial SSU rRNA". It matches the Rfam family "Bacterial small subunit ribosomal RNA", at positions 773 to 1220 of the family's 1533-position model. The record is from RNAcentral.